UACGAAGGGGGCUAGCGUUGCUCGGAAUCACUGGGCGUAAAGGGUGCGUAGGCGGCUCUUUAAGUCAGGGGUGAAAUCCCGGGGCUCAACCUCGGAAUUGCCUUUGAUACUGUCUGUCUUGAGUUCGGGAGAGGUUGGCGGAAUUCCUAGUGUAGAGGUGAAAUUCGUAGAUAUUAGGAAGAACACCAGUGGCGAAGGCGGCCAACUGGCCCGAUACUGACGCUCAUGUGCGAAAGCGUGGGGAGCAAACAGG
Molecule: ribosomal RNA, 253 nt
Filed under: uncultured bacterium
Lineage: Bacteria
Description: partial 16S ribosomal RNA
Rfam family: Bacterial small subunit ribosomal RNA
Source: RNAcentral